Molecule: unclassified non-coding RNA, 291 nt
Filed under: Paraconiothyrium archidendri
Lineage: Eukaryota; Fungi; Ascomycota; Dothideomycetes; Pleosporales; Didymosphaeriaceae
Description: partial internal transcribed spacer region
Rfam family: Eukaryotic small subunit ribosomal RNA (bases 1-46)
Source: RNAcentral
AAGUCGUAACAAGGUUUCCGUAGGUGAACCUGCGGAAGGAUCAUUAUCUAUAACCGGGUGUGGCUGCGGCCUCCGGGGGCGUGGGCGUCGAAACGAUGCCCUCUCUUCCGGGCGGUAGAGGUAAAACUCUCACGCGCCACAUGUCUGAAUCCUUUUUUUACGAGCACCUUUCGUUCUCCUUCGGUGGGGUGACCUGCCGUUGGAACCCAUCAAAACUCUUUUUGCAUCUAGCAUUACCUGUUCUGAUACAAACAAUCGUUACAACUUUCAACAAUGGAUCUCUUGGCUCUG